RNAcentral lists this ribosomal RNA (274 nucleotides) under uncultured bacterium. Its description in RNAcentral is "partial 16S ribosomal RNA". It matches the Rfam family "Bacterial small subunit ribosomal RNA", at positions 523 to 796 of the family's 1533-position model. The record is from RNAcentral.
AUACGGAGGGUGCAAGCGUUAUUCGGAAUCACUGGGCGUAAAGGACGCGUAGGCGGGUUGGCAAGUUAGAUGUGAAAUCCUACAGCUUAACUGUAGAACUGCAUUUGAAACUGCUAACCUAGAGUAUGGGAGGGGGAGAUGGAAUUAGUGGUGUAGGGGUAAAAUCCGUAGAUAUCACUAGGAAUACCGAAAGCGAAGGCGAUCUCCUGGAACAUAACUGACGCUAAGGCGUGAAAGCGUGGGGAGCAAACAGGAUUAGAAACCCUAGUAGUCC